ACUUGGAUAUGGAUUCUUCACGGUAACGUAACUGAAUGUGGAGACGUCGGCGUGAGCCCUGGGAGGAGUUCUNUNUUCUUCUNAACAGCUUAUCACCCUGGAAUUGGUUUAUCCGGAGAUAGGGUNUUAUGGCUGGAAGAGUGCAAUACUUUUGUUGCAUCCGGUGCGCUUACGACGGUCCUUGAAAAUCCACAGGAAGGAAUAGUUUUCAUGCCAAGUCGUACU
RNAcentral lists this ribosomal RNA (225 nucleotides) under Scheffersomyces segobiensis. Its description in RNAcentral is "partial 26S rRNA". It matches the Rfam family "Eukaryotic large subunit ribosomal RNA", at positions 1623 to 1848 of the family's 3401-position model. The record is from RNAcentral. Lineage: Eukaryota; Fungi; Ascomycota; Pichiomycetes; Serinales; Debaryomycetaceae.